RNAcentral lists this unclassified non-coding RNA (215 nucleotides) under Microdochium sp. RNAcentral's name for it is "partial internal transcribed spacer region". The stretch from base 1 to 46 matches the Rfam family "Eukaryotic small subunit ribosomal RNA", at positions 1786 to 1831 of the family's 1831-position model. The record is from RNAcentral. Lineage: Eukaryota; Fungi; Ascomycota; Sordariomycetes; Xylariales; Microdochiaceae.
AAGUCGUAACAAGGUCUCCGUUGGUGAACCAGCGGAGGGAUCAUUACUGAGUUUUUAACUCUCCAAACCAUGUGAACUUACCACUGUUGCCUCGGUGGUCGGUGCUGGAAACAGUGCUGCCACCGGUGGACUACUAAACUCUUGUUAAUUUUUGUCAAAUCUGAAUCAAACUAAGAAAUAAGUUAAAACUUUCAACAACGGAUCUCUUGGUUCUG